Catharus ustulatus (Swainson's thrush) is the source of this 2168-nucleotide RNA transcript. It is a transcript of the gene named 6-phosphofructo-2-kinase/fructose-2,6-biphosphatase 2, with no coding region annotated. The transcript has 15 exons. Lineage: Eukaryota; Metazoa; Chordata; Aves; Passeriformes; Turdidae. The record is from RefSeq and is a predicted model, not a curated record.
GAGCUUGCUGGGGCUGUUCGCUGAGAGAACGUGACCGUUUUGUUAAAAGCAUCUUUGGUUCGCCCUUGACGGCUCCGGCCCGGGCGGUAAAUGCUUUUAACGCUGACAGCCCCGUUAGGCAGCGCUGCCGCCGGUCCGCAGACAGAGCAGAGCACGGGCAUGGGCUUCCUACAUGACCAACUCGCCGACGCUGAUCGUGAUGAUCGGGCUGCCCGCGCGGGGCAAGACCUACAUGUCCAAAAAGCUCACCCGCUACCUCAACUGGAUCGGGGUGCCCACCAAAGUGUUUAAUUUAGGGGUGUACCGGCGCGAGGCCGUCAAGUCCUACAAGUCCUACGACUUCUUCAGGCACGACAACAAAGAGGCCAUGGAAAUCCGCAAGCGCUGUGCCCUGGUGGCUCUGGAGGAUGUGAAGUCUUAUCUCUUGGAGGAGUCUGGGCAAAUAGCUGUGUUUGAUGCGACCAACACGACUCGGGAGCGACGGGACCUGAUCUUAAAUUUUGCCAAGGAAAACGCGUUCAAGGUGUUCUUCGUGGAGUCUGUGUGUGAUGAUCCAGAGGUGAUCGCUGCCAAUAUCCUGGAGGUGAAAGUUUCCAGCCCUGACUACCCAGAGAUUCACCGGGAGAAUGUGAUGGACGAUUUCCUGAAGAGGAUCGAGUGCUACAAGGUCACCUACCAGCCCCUGGACCCCGAUGCUUAUGACAAAGAUCUUUCCUUCAUUAAAGUGAUCAACGUGGGCCAGCGCUUCCUGGUGAACCGAGUGCAGGAUUACAUCCAGAGCAAGAUCGUUUAUUACCUGAUGAACAUCCACGUGCAGCCCCGCACCAUCUACCUGUGCCGGCACGGAGAGAGCGAGUACAACCUGCUGGGCAGGAUUGGGGGCGACUCUGGCCUGUCUGCCCGGGGCAAGCAGUUCUCCCAGGCUCUGAAGAAGUUCAUCGAGGAGCAGGAGAUCGUGGAGCUGAAGGUGUGGACGAGCCAGCUGAAGAGAACAAUCCAGACAGCCGAGUCCCUGGGGGUGCUCUACGAGCAGUGGAAGAUCCUCAAUGAGAUCGAUGCUGGGGUCUGUGAAGAAAUGACUUAUGCAGAAAUUGAAGCCAAGUAUCCAGAGGAGUUUGCCAUGAGGGAUCAGGAUAAAUAUCUUUAUCGUUACCCUGGAGGGGAGUCCUACCAGGACCUGGUGCAGCGCCUGGAGCCGGUAAUUAUGGAGCUGGAGAGGCAAGGCAACGUCCUGGUCAUCUCCCACCAGGCAGUUAUGAGGUGUCUCCUGGCUUAUUUUCUUGACAAGAGUGCAGAUGAGCUGCCCUACCUGCGCUGCCCCCUGCACACCAUCCUCAAGCUCACACCUGUUGCCUACGGCUGCAAAGUGGAGACAAUCACCCUGAACGUGGAAGCAGUGAACACCCACCGGGACAAGCCCUCCCUGAACUCACUCGACCUCCCCAGCAGGCAGAGCCCUGUGAGGAUGAGGAGGAACAGCUUCACCCCGCGGCACCACAGCCUGGGCAGCAAACCCCUGCACCUGCUGGGGCCUCUCCCAGCCCUGCAAGCUCGAGAAGGGGCUGAGCAGCCACAGCUGGAAGUCUCUGUGCAGGUGGUACCUUCCCUGUGCUCCCCUCCCCACCAUCGCUGGGACCCCCACCGGCACCUCCAGCACUUUUUGUUGUUCCUGCAUGGAAAUCAUCCAGCCUGGAUUGGAUUAGGGGGAAAAAACAAUCAGGAAAGUCCCUCAAAACCAGCCCCAAAGCAUAAAAAUGCCCCCCAUCCAGCUGGAGUUGUGGUGGCAGUCUUUCAGAGCCAGGUUUCCAUCCUGGGUUUUUGGCAGGGGGGUUAAUCCUGGGUUUUGCUUCUGGAAAAGUUCCAGCUCCCCUCUUUGUCCCAGUUUUUACUGCAGCCAAGUGAUGGCCCUGCCUUCUCUCACCUCCUGCUCUGACACAAACCUGCCCUGGGCUGAAAUGACAUUUUGGGGCUGUUUCACUCCUCCCCUCCUUUGCUUUGCUGCUUUUCCCGUUUCAGUCUCCUUUAAGAUGCACUACGAGCCCUGCUGUGCUUCUCUGUUUCCUUUGCAGCCUCCAGAGGGAAAUGCUUGCCCCUGAGUGCCACUGCCAGCAGCUUGGGUGUGCUCUCUUUGGGAAAAUGUCCACUUUAGCAGUGUAAGGCUUCCUGCU